CAGGAGCAGCCCUACAGCCAUCACUUACAUGUACUUUGGGUCCUGCUGAGAUCCACUAACAUUUGCUCAUCACCAGCAGGGCAGCUGACUAGAUGAGAGCUGCUGGGGUGUCUCUUCACAGUUAUCUCCAGGGGAUCAAAGACCACGAGGCCAGAAUAGCAGCUAGACCGGAACUGAGCCACUGGGGUUUUGGCCCCAAACAGAAGCUCAUGAGACAAAACUGCGCUGUUUAUUUGAAGGGAUGCAAUUCCAGUGACAGAACUUCUUCAGGUGGAUGCUUCUGACCAAUCUGCUGAAAGGGGAAGAAUGGACUCAUCUUCUGGAAAAUGUAACCUUUACCUCCUGCAGCACCAAGAACCUGUGGCCCACAAGAUCCUGUUUCGUUUUUUUUUUUGGUGUUUCUGACUUUGAGGAAGCUCCAAGACUGGGCUUGAAGGUCCCAAAGGCUGUUCCAGCCACCUAAAUAAAAGCACAUUUAUUACCUGUGCAUCAGAACUCUCUGAGUGGAUAACAAAAAGUUGAGUUUAUCAGGCUCUCUUUUCCUACACCAAACUCUUCCAAAGGCAGUGAUGCCUCUGAAACUGUGUAUUGUUUACUUCAGCUCAAAAUGUGAUCUGUGUUUUUCUAAAGAUUCAGCAUGUUUUUCAACUAAGCAGUCAAUCUGCCCAUUGUAGACUGUGGCUGUGGGUGGUGGGGAAGACACAGAGCCACGUUCACAUUUCAAAACACUUCCAUUGCAGACCCAGCCA
Passer montanus (Eurasian tree sparrow) is the source of this 749-nucleotide long non-coding RNA. RefSeq lists it as uncharacterized. The record is from RefSeq and is a predicted model, not a curated record. Lineage: Eukaryota; Metazoa; Chordata; Aves; Passeriformes; Passeridae. The transcript has 3 exons.